RNAcentral lists this ribosomal RNA (503 nucleotides) under uncultured Syntrophaceae bacterium. RNAcentral describes it as "bacterial SSU rRNA". It matches the Rfam family "Bacterial small subunit ribosomal RNA", at positions 382 to 875 of the family's 1533-position model. Lineage: Bacteria; Pseudomonadati; Thermodesulfobacteriota; Syntrophia; Syntrophales; Syntrophaceae. The record is from RNAcentral.
CCUGACGCAGCAACGCCGCGUGAGUGAGGAGGGUCUUCGGAUCGUAAAGCUCUGUCGGGUGGGAAGGAAUAUACAAAAGUUAACAGCUUUUGUACUUGACGGUACCACCAGAGGAAGCACCGGCCAACUCCGUGCCAGCAGCCGCGGUAAUACGGGGGGUGCAAGCGUUGUUCGGAAUUAUUGGGCGUAAAGAGCGUGUAGGCGGUUGGAUAAGUCAGAUGUGAAAGCCCUGGGCUUAACCCAGGGAGUGCAUUUGAAACUGUUCGGCUUGAGUAAGGGAGAGGAAAGUGGAAUUCCUGGUGUAGAGGUGGAAUUCGUAGAUAUCAGGAGGAACACCGGUGGCGAAGGCGACUUUCUGGCCCUAUACUGACGCUGAGACGCGAAAGCGUGGGUAGCAAACAGGAUUAGAUACCCUGGUAGUCCACGCCGUAAACGAUGUUCACUAGGUGUUGGGGGUAUUGACCCCCUCAGUGCCGAAGCUAACGCAUUAAGUGAACCGCCUG